CCCGGCGCACCGCUCAGUAACACGUGGGUAACCUGCCCUAUGCUGGGGAAUAACCUCGGGAAACUGAGAAUAAUGCCCCAUAGUCCACUACGCCUGGAACGGUGAGUGGAUCAAAGCUCCGGCGGCAUAGGAUGGGCCUGCGCCGUAUCAGGUUGUAGGGGGUGUAAAGUACCCUCUAGCCAUCAACGCGUACGGGUGUUGGGAGACAUUGCCCGGAGAUGGAUUCUGAGACACGAAUCCAGACCCUACGGGGUGCAGCAGGCGCGAAAACUUGGCAAUGCGAGCAAUCGUGACCAGGGAACUCCAAGUACUUGGGGUAAGACCCAAGCUUUUCUUGACUCUUAAACGGUCUUGGAAUAAGGGGUGGGUAAGGACGGUGCCAGCCGCCGCGGUAAUACCGGCGCCUCAAGUGGUAGUCGCUUUUAUUGGGCCUAAAACGUCCGUAGCCGGUCUGGUGCAUUCGUGGGUAAAUCAACCCGCUCAACGGGUUGAAUUCUGCGAGCACGGCC
Molecule: ribosomal RNA, 509 nt
Filed under: uncultured Methanimicrococcus sp.
Lineage: Archaea; Methanobacteriati; Methanobacteriota; Methanomicrobia; Methanosarcinales; Methanosarcinaceae
Description: bacterial SSU rRNA
Rfam family: Archaeal small subunit ribosomal RNA
Source: RNAcentral